Molecule: small RNA, 29 nt
Filed under: Bombyx mori (domestic silkworm)
Lineage: Eukaryota; Metazoa; Arthropoda; Insecta; Lepidoptera; Bombycidae
Description: piRNA piR-bmo-1840593
Source: RNAcentral
UGACUAUUGCUUCAUAUUCAGAGGACCCU